GAUGAACGCUGGCGGCGUGCCUAAUACAUGCAAGUCGAGCGAACAGACGAGGAGCUUGCUCCUCUGACGUUAGCGGCGGACGGGUGAGUAACACGUGGAUAACCUACCUAUAAGACUGGGAUAACUUCGGGAAACCGGAGCUAAUACCGGAUAAUAUAUUGAACCGCAUGGUUCAAUAGUGAAAGACGGUUUUGCUGUCACUUAUAGAUGGUUCCGCGCCGCAUUAGCUAGUUGGUAAGGUAACGGCUUACCAAGGCGACGAUGCGUAGCCGACCUGAGAGGGUGAUCGGCCACACUGGAACUGAGACACGGUCCAGACUCCUACGGGAGGCAGCAGUAGGGAAUCUUCCGCAAUGGGCGAAAGCCUGACGGAGCAACGCCGCGUGAGUGAUGAAGGUCUUCGGAUCGUAAAACUCUGUUAUUAGGGAAGAACAAUUGUGUAAGUAACUAUGCACGUCUUGACGGUACCUAAUCAGAAAGCCACGGCUAACUACGUG
Molecule: ribosomal RNA, 497 nt
Filed under: uncultured bacterium
Lineage: Bacteria
Description: partial 16S ribosomal RNA
Rfam family: Bacterial small subunit ribosomal RNA
Source: RNAcentral